Molecule: long non-coding RNA, 1267 nt
Organism: Cercocebus atys (sooty mangabey)
Lineage: Eukaryota; Metazoa; Chordata; Mammalia; Primates; Cercopithecidae
Exons: 3
Source: RefSeq, a predicted model, not a curated record
GGCCUCCACAACCAUGCUUACUGUACAGCCUGCAGAACUUUGAAGGACUACUCUCAGGUCACAUCACCAACAUGACCGAAUCCUUUGGAACAACUACUCAUCCAGAAUGAAUACAUUUCAAGGUGCUCUUUCCUGCUGCAUUUGGAUACAGGUUCUGGUGGGCCCUGUUUGCCCAGAUCCUUGGGUAAGUAAAUUUGAUGUCAAUUGAUCUUAAUCUCAGAUGCCAAGUUUGUGCUAAGAUGUAAACGACCCUUCAGUAAAUUGAAUAAUCUUGUUGGGCAUUACCAUAGUUAUAAAAUGUUAAGGAAGUAGAGUUUUUUUGUUUUGUUUUGUUUUGCUUUUUGUUUUUUUAAUCAACAGAGAGCCUUUCAAAAGAUGUCACAAAGAUUAGGAAACAUACUCCAUCGUUACGGAGUAUGUUUCCUAUAAUGAUUCCAUUACCAAGACUACACUGGCAGCAAGACUUCCUCUGGCUGGGUGAAGCUAAAGGUCAUCUCUGACCAGUCCUCAGAAGCCUUCAAAGAUCUUUUAAAUGUUUUCUUAAUGCUCCUCUCUGGCUCUUUAAAUCAUGAUUGAGGCUUGGAUUCUAUUAGAGUGAGCAGGGACUCAAUAUGAAAUUCUGCACCAGGCACACAGUUAAUAUAAUUUCUUUUAUUUAGAAUUCUGCUCUCUGUACAGUCUGGUUAUCAAUUCUCUUUUUCAUGAUUUGGCAUUUGUGAUGGAAAGAACAAAUUCAGAUGUCCUUCCUCUCUGAGUGAUUCACAGUGUGUUUUCCAUUUCCAUUGACAACCUUCUCAAUGUUUUGACAAUAACUUCCUCAAUAGGACACCAAAAUUAUGUGACUAAAUGAAAAGAAUUCACAAUCACUGAAUACGUACCAUGUAUCAUAUAUUUUAACAUAUACCUUAGCAUAGACCACAAAGGAUUAAUACUAGGACUUGGUACCAAAUCUAAGAUUUCUUCCAUGCUCCAGUAAUUAUAGAGUGACAAUGAAAUUCUGGCUUCUGCAUAUCCCGUCAUCAUGCUGCUCUCAUUAUCAUAGCACAAGACAGCAGUGGCUUUUCAUAGCAACAUUAUUAUAACUACUUUAGACAACAGUCUUUCCAGUUAUUUUUCUUAUACUCAUAGAAGAUAAAUGGACUGUCUGUAAGCACCAUCAAACUACAUUUAAAUGUAAAGGCUAAAAAUAUUUUUAAGAAUUAGGAAAUCCAAGUGAAUUCGAUUUUUCCUUCUAUGCCUUCCCCUCAACUCCAAAUUCAUUUUUUAA